CUAGCUACAGGCUUAACACAUGCAAGUCGAGGGGCAGCAUGGUCUUAGCUUGCUAAGGCCGAUGGCGACCGGCGCACGGGUGAGUAACACGUAUCCAACCUGCCGUCUACUCUUGGACAGCCUUCUGAAAGGAAGAUUAAUACAAGAUGGCAUCAUGAGUCCACAUGUUCACAUGAUUAAAGGUAUUCCGGUAGACGAUGGGGAUGCGUUCCAUUAGAUAGUAGGCGGGGUAACGACCCACCUAGUCUUCGAUGGAUAGGGGUUCUGAGAGGAAGGUCCCCCACAUUGGAACUGAGACACGGUCCAAACUCCUACGGGAGGCAGCAGUGAGGAAUAUUGGUCAAUGGGCGAGAGCCUGAACCAGCCAAGUAGCGUGAAGGAUGACUGCCCUAUGGGUUGUAAACUUCUUUUAUAAAGGAAUAAAGUCGGGUAUGCAUACCCGUUUGCAUGUACUUUAUGAAUAAGGAUCGGCUAACUCCGUGCCAGCAGCCGCGGUAAUACGGAGGAUCCGAGCGUUAUCCGGAUUUAUUGGGUUUAAAGGGAGCGUAGAUGGAUGUUUAAGUCAGUUGUGAAAGUUUGCGGCUCAACCGUAAAAUUGCAGUUGAUACUGGAUAUCUUGAGUGCAGUUGAGGCAGGCGGAAUUCGUGGUGUAGCGGUGAAAUGCUUAGAUAUCACGAAGAACUCCGAUUGCGAAGGCAGCCUGCUAAGCUGCAACUGACAUUGAGGCUCGAAAGUGUGGGUAUCAAACAGGAUUAGAUACCCUGGUAGUCCACACGGUAAACGAUGAAUACUCGCUGUUUGCGAUAUACAGCAAGCGGCCAAGCGAAAGCGUUAAGUAUUCCACCUGGGGAGUACGCCGGCAACGGUGAAACUCAAAGGAAUUGACGGGGGCCCGCACAAGCGGAGGAACAUGUGGUUUAAUUCGAUGAUACGCGAGGAACCUUACCCGGGCUUAAAUUGCAGAUGAAUUACGGUGAAAGCCGUAAGCCGCAAGGCAUCUGUGAAGGUGCUGCAUGGUUGUCGUCAGCUCGUGCCGUGAGGUGUCGGCUUAAGUGCCAUAACGAGCGCAACCCUUGUUGUCAGUUACUAACAGGUUCUGCUGAGGACUCUGACAAGACUGCCAUCGUAAGAUGUGAGGAAGGUGGGGAUGACGUCAAAUCAGCACGGCCCUUACGCCCGGGGCUACACACGUGUUACAAUGGGGGGUACAGAGGGCCGCUACCACGCGAGUGGAUGCCAAUCCCAAAAACCUCUCUCAGUUCGGACUGGAGUCUGCAACCCGACUCCACGAAGCUGGAUUCGCUAGUAAUCGCGCAUCAGCCACGGCGCGGUGAAUACGUUCCCGGGCCUUGUACACACCGCCCGUCAAGCCAUGGGAGCCGGGGGUACCUGAAGUGCGUAACCGCGAGGAGCGCCCUAGGGUAAAACUG
This 1430-nucleotide ribosomal RNA is filed under the name uncultured organism. RNAcentral's name for it is "SSU rRNA". It matches the Rfam family "Bacterial small subunit ribosomal RNA". The record is from RNAcentral.